GCGGAAGUGGCGAAACUGGCAGACGCGCUAUCUUGAGGGGGUAGUGGGCAAUGCUCAUGCGGGUUCGAGUCCCGCCUUCCGCACCA
This 86-nucleotide transfer RNA is filed under the name Clostridiales bacterium. RNAcentral describes it as "tRNA-Leu". It matches the Rfam family "tRNA". Rfam says of the family: Transfer RNA (tRNA) molecules are approximately 80 nucleotides in length. Their secondary structure includes four short double-helical elements and three loops (D, anti-codon, and T loops). The record is from RNAcentral. Lineage: Bacteria; Bacillati; Bacillota; Clostridia; Eubacteriales.